RNAcentral lists this ribosomal RNA (253 nucleotides) under uncultured bacterium. Its description in RNAcentral is "partial 16S ribosomal RNA". It matches the Rfam family "Bacterial small subunit ribosomal RNA", at positions 524 to 776 of the family's 1533-position model. The record is from RNAcentral.
UACGUAGGGUGCAAGCGUUGUCCGGAAUUAUUGGGCGUAAAGAGCGUGUAGGCGGCCCGACAAGUCCGCUGUGAAAGUCCAGGGCUCAACCCUGGAAUGCCGGUGGAUACUGUCGGGCUAGAGUCCGGAAGGGGCGAGUGGAAUUCCUGGUGUAGCGGUGAAAUGCGCAGAUAUCAGGAGGAACACCAAUGGCGAAGGCAGCUCGCUGGGACGUGACUGACGCUGAGACGCGAAAGCGUGGGGAGCAAACAGG